GUGAGUGGCGCGGACUAUACAUGCAGUCGAACGCUUUUCCUUUCACCGGAGCUUGCUCCACCGAAAGAAAAAGAGUGGCGAACGGGUGAGUAACACGUGGGUAACCUGCCCAUCAGAAGGGGAUAACACUUGGAAACAGGUGCUAAUACCGUAUAACACAAUUUUCCGCAUGGAAGAAAGUUGAAAGGCGCUUUUGCGUCACUGAUGGAUGGACCCGCGGUGCAUUAGCUAGUUGGUGAGGUAACGGCUCACCAAGGCAACGAUGCAUAGCCGACCUGAGAGGGUGAUCGGCCACACUGGGACUGAGACACGGCCCAGACUCCUACGGGAGGCAGCAGUAGGGAAUCUUCGGCAAUGGACGAAAGUCUGACCGAGCAACGCCGCGUGAGUGAAGAAGGUUUUCGGAUCGAAAAACUCUGUUGUUAGAGAAGAACAAGGAUGAGAGUAAAAUGUUCAUUCCCUUGACGGUAUCUACAGAAAGCCACGGCUAACCUACGUGCAGCAGCGCGGUAUACGUAGGUGGCAAGCGUUGUCCCGGAUUUAUUGGGCGUAAAGCGAGCGCAGGCGGUUUCUUAAGUCUGAUGUGAAAGCCCCCGGCUCAACCGGGGAGGGUCAUUGGAAACUGGGAGACUUGAGUGCAGAAGAGGAGAGUGGAAUUUCCAUGU
This 665-nucleotide ribosomal RNA is filed under the name uncultured Enterococcus sp. RNAcentral describes it as "bacterial SSU rRNA". It matches the Rfam family "Bacterial small subunit ribosomal RNA", at positions 35 to 676 of the family's 1533-position model. Lineage: Bacteria; Bacillati; Bacillota; Bacilli; Lactobacillales; Enterococcaceae. The record is from RNAcentral.